AUGGAGCUCUCAUCCCUCCUGCCCGCCCUGUCCCCGCGCCGCGCCCUCCCGCUCUCCUUCCCCACCGCGUCCAAGACGGCCCGGCGGCCGCGGCCGGCCGCCUUCGCCUGCCGCGCGGACGCCUCCCCGGAAGGGCCAUCAACCACCCGGCGAUGGUUCGCCUCGCUAGCCGCCGCCACCGCAGCCGUGGGGAUUGGCGUCGCCGGAGGAGGGGAGGCUGGCGCCGUGUCGACCAGCAGGAGAGUUUUCAGGAGCAACAAGAUUCCGGAGAGCGACUUCAUUACUCUGCCUAAUGGCAUCAAGUACUAUGACAUCAAAGUAGGAGGUGGGGCCAAAGCAGUUAAGGGAUCACGUGUCGCAGUACAUUACGUGGCCAAGUGGAAGGGCAUAACAUUCAUGACAAGUAGGCAGGGCCUCGGUGUCACUGGUGGAACGCCGUAUGGGUUUGAUGUUGGCAAUUCUGAAAGAGGCAAUGUUCUAAAAGGAUUGGAUCUCGGGGUUGAGGGAAUGAAAGUUGGAGGCCAGAGGUUGGUUAUUGUUCCUCCUGAGCUAGCUUAUGGAAAAAAGGGCGUUCAAGAAAUUCCUCCUAAUGCAACUAUUGAGCUGGAUGUCGAACUACUAUCAAUCAAACAGAGUCCAUUCGGGAGUCCUGUGAAGAUCGUUGAAGGAUAA
This 672-nucleotide ribosomal RNA is filed under the name Triticum aestivum (bread wheat). Its description in RNAcentral is "partial small subunit ribosomal RNA". Lineage: Eukaryota; Viridiplantae; Streptophyta; Magnoliopsida; Poales; Poaceae. The record is from RNAcentral.